CUAUUGUGACAUCCCUGGAUCUUCCUUCUACUUCAUUAAUGAAAAACCAGAACUGGAACGACCAAGAGCCAUAAAUGAUAACAAAAAUCACCAGAUCCAAGCAAACACAUGAGCCUCAGAUACUUAACAAGUUACCACCACGCUCAACAACGAAGAUGGGCAUCUAAAAGACCCAAAUCAUUUUCUUGGGGUGGGACAUCUUACCUAUGUAGCUCUGCUUUUUAACUUCGAGACCAGCGAUCUCCAGCAUCAGAAAAGCCGAGGGUGGCAGAAGAAUUGAGAAGAACAAAGUUCUUGAAUGGAAGACGUAAAAUCAACUCUAAUGCCGACUAGAAGAAUCAAAGAAGAAAAGAAAGGUGGAGGAAGCUGUCACAGUCAAGUACCAAACUAGAGCCAGGAGAUCUGAGCAUCAAUGGUAGAAGUCAAAAGCAUCGGACGAAGGAUCCUAUUUCCAGUGAUGACUAGUAUAGUAAGGAUUCACAGUACUGAAGACACAAAAGUUCUAGAAUGGCAUUCCUUCUUUUUACUGUGUAUUUCAGAGAUGACAAAGGGACAAAACUGGGAAAGAGGUCACCAAUCACCGUUGUCAAGAAGGAGACAAGGCCUGACCACACACCAGAGAGCCUGUAGACAGGGUGUAUUCUCAGAUGGGGAAGUCAUGGCAACACUAGCAGACCCCAGUCCUUGCUCCUGCUGUGGAAAGUGACUUAGUCCAAAGACUUGCUUGGACGUGACACUGGUGACAUCUGUACACUAAGAAAUUUGCAUUUUAGAGCAGGAAGCCAGAUCCCAG
This 793-nucleotide long non-coding RNA is filed under the name Mus spicilegus (steppe mouse). RNAcentral describes it as "lncRNA (ENSMSIG00000008687.1)". Lineage: Eukaryota; Metazoa; Chordata; Mammalia; Rodentia; Muridae. The record is from RNAcentral.